UGAGCAUCUUACCUCAGACCCGCCCUACAUCAGCUGUAAUAGUCCGACUUCUACAAAAAUGCGCAAAUCAUUCGUGAUCCAGCUUCACCUACAGCAUAAAGCACAAGACACACUCAGCUGCUUGUGAAGCUGGUCCUCUGAGCAGAUAUCUGGACUGAAACACUCAAGACAUCAAGGGAACAUACAGUUCCAGCAUGAAGCCCAGGAGGCGUCUGACCUCUGUGGAUCUGCUCCCUACGAUUGUAGAACUCCAGGAGAGCCAGAGUCUGGAUGACUACACAGACUCCAUACGGGAACUGUCCCAACCCACCUACCCUCUCAGCGGACCCCUCCGGGGCUCCCGUCUGUCACCGCUGCGCAUGACCAAAUACCCCAGCAUGUCACUGGCCACCGGCAGUUCAGUCCUGGCACACAAGCCCUGGGCACUCCCUGGACCUGACAACGUAUCACUAACCUUGACAGACUCAAAAGGCCCAGCGAGUUCAAAUCAGGACCCAUUGGACUGGCUGUUUGCACAAGCGCAGACCGACCCAGAAGAUGUGUGCAUGAUAUGAUGGAGACAAAAAUGAUGCAAUGUCACAGCCUUGGGAAUAUGCUGCAAGCUGCAAUGAAUUAUUCUUAUUUUCAGUGUAUUAAAGUGUGAUUUCUGAGAUUAGAAAUAGGGGUAAGUUGUCAGAAGGGCUAAAAAAUAGGUUUCACAAAUGUCAGGUAUAUACUAUAAGUAUAUUAAUUAUAGUAUCUGUUAGCCAAAUGCAAUGAUAUUUCUAUUUUUGUUGUUUCAUGAAUUAAAAUUUUGAAGUUUAGGGUUAGAAAGAUAUAUAUAUUUUUAAAGAAAUUAAUACUUUUAUUUAGCAAAGAUGCAUUACACUGAUGCAAAAUGACAAUAAAGACAUCUAUAACCUUACAAAGGUAUUCCACUUUGCAAGAAACUUUCAAAAACAUAAAAAUCUUAGUGAUCAAAUCUUUUGAAUAGUAUUGUGUCUAUUAUUUGUCUUGUAUAUUUGCAAUUUUACUGUUAAACUUUUGCUGUUUAAUAUUAAGUUUAAAAUAUGUAAAUGUGUUAAAUGAACCGGCUAUACUGAUUUCAGCUUUGCAUUAAAAGACUGCACAGAACAGCAGAAGAAAGCAAUUACAUGUCAGCAGCAUGCCCUAAUAAACAAAAAGUUGUUAGGUUUCGUUUUCCUCUAAGCCACUGCAGUUCUCAGAGACUCUGGUCAUGAUUUAUUUAACCAAAAAAGAAUGCCGUCUUCCUGCCAAGCUUUACAGAUCUUGCACAACACUGUUAGACCAAAUCACUGCAACACACUGCAAGUACACUGUCAAGAGCUGAGAGCUCUGAGUUUGCACAGAGUUACUGGUAAUGUAAACACAACUUA
Molecule: long non-coding RNA, 1376 nt
Organism: Labeo rohita (rohu)
Lineage: Eukaryota; Metazoa; Chordata; Actinopteri; Cypriniformes; Cyprinidae
Exons: 3
Source: RefSeq, a predicted model, not a curated record